RNAcentral lists this ribosomal RNA (433 nucleotides) under uncultured bacterium. RNAcentral's name for it is "partial 16S ribosomal RNA". It matches the Rfam family "Bacterial small subunit ribosomal RNA", at positions 29 to 507 of the family's 1533-position model. The record is from RNAcentral.
AACGAACGCUGGCGGCAUGCCUAACACAUGCCAGUCGAACGAAGGCUUCGGCCUUAGUGGCGCACGGGUGCGUAACGCGUGGGAAUCUGCCCUUUGGUUCGGAAUAACAGCUGGAAACGGCUGCUAAUACCGGAUGAUGACGAAAGUCCAAAGAUUUAUCGCCAGAGGAUGAGCCCGCGUUGGAUUAGGUAGUUGGUGGGGUAAAGGCCUACCAAGCCGACGAUCCAUAGCUGGUCUGAGAGGAUGAUCAGCCACACUGGGACUGAGACACGGCCCAGACUCCUACGGGAGGCAGGAGUGGGGAAUAUUGGACAAUGGGCGCAAGCCUGAUCCAGCAAUGCCGCGUGAGUGAUGAAGGCCCUAGGGUUGUAAAGCUCUUUUACCCGGGAAGAUAAUGACUGUACCGGGAGAAUAAGCCCCGGCUAACUCCGUG